RNAcentral lists this long non-coding RNA (9094 nucleotides) under Triticum aestivum (bread wheat). RNAcentral's name for it is "long non-coding RNA (TAES_LNC022964)". Lineage: Eukaryota; Viridiplantae; Streptophyta; Magnoliopsida; Poales; Poaceae. The record is from RNAcentral.
UGCACUUGCUUGGUUUAUUGUAUCCCAUGAACAUGGAGGAUGAUGUUGUGCUGGUAGCCAUGGACAUGGAAGGCCAGGUGUGGAACACUAUCCCUGUGCCAUCUGGUGGUUUGAGUUUCGGUAGAAUUGGAUUGUCACAGGGGUGCCAGCACUAUGCUACCACACCGCUAGCUAAUGACGACAAGAAGAAUAAGAAGAGGAAGAAGAAAAAGGAGGACACAUCAACAGUCUGGUGCAUGAAGGAUUAUGAUAGUAAAGAAUGGGUCUUGAAGCAUAGUGUCGGCAACGAUGAGCUACGGAGCAUAACUGGUGUGGACUACAAAGUGGCUGCUUUUCAUCCAGACCGUGACACCAUUUUUCUGGAUUCAUAUGAUGUUGAUACAUUGGUAUCAUACGAUAUGCAACAUCGGAAAUUCCAUCAAAUCCAUAGUCUUCGGGAAAAUCGGGUAACAAUAUUUGUACCUAUGUUCCAUUGUUCUCAGAUUCAUUUGUAGCUGUAGAUAGAAAGUAGUGUUACCUACAAGUCAAGCUUGUGGUUCUUCUAAGAAUUCGCUCUUCUAUAGGCACUGAACUAUUUCUGUCUGUUGAUCUCUGAAUUUCCUCCUGCUAGCUUGAUUUUCUGUUUGGAAAAACAUGGUUACUAUUCUUGUCGCUGAAUUAUUGUGACACUCCAAAAAAUUUCUUUGUGGUUUUGUUUUCAGCAAAAAUCUUUCUUGGAUUUAGUUUCUCCUGAGAGGAAAAACCUUUUGGUUUUUGGGCUUUUAUUUGGUUUUGAUCCUUUCUAAAUUUUACCAUGUCUCCUAUGGUAAAAUUUUCUCAGAAACCAAUCAUUCCACUUUGGUUCAACCCAAACAUUCUGUCCAAACUAAUAAAAUCCAUUUUUGGAUUUUAUUCCAAUUAUUUCGCCUCCCAAAAUAAUUCUGUCUUUUCUUUUAAGCCUAGGUGAUUUGCAAAGCAAGUACCCUAAUGCUUUUGAGUUUUGACCUCAACUCAACACCCUUGGAUAGUCCUUUGUACCCACAACCCAGAACCAUCUUGAUCCACUCUUCUCCUGUCCAAAUAUUUCAAAAUUCACUCACUGCAAGUUUGGACCAGAUUUGCUAAAUUUGGUGAAAUUCAUAUCUACACCUCUCCAAAAAUUCUACAAAUAUUCAGCCAGCCUCUAGAUGCAAUGAGAGGCCCCUCCACAAAAAACCAGCUCAAGGAAAAAUCCCUACACACUAGAAUCAUUCUGUCGAACACCUUGCAUGCACUAGUACUGUUCACUUUCAGAAAAUUCAGAAGUUCAGUGUCGAUCUCCGUCAGUAACUUCAGUCACGAGUCCACAGUGCCCUUGGCACGUUGCUCGCGGCCUAUCCCUCUUGUCCGCAGCUUCAAACGAGCACUUGGCGCGUUCCUGGUGUCGGUGGCGCCCUGGCCCGCCUGCGCCGGCGUGUCUUGCAGCGGCCGUAUCACCGUAGCGGCCGACAGGGAGCAGAACGGCGGCAUAACGCCGUUCGGUGCCGCCCAAACCCCCUGGUAGCUCCGCGUGGCCGUUUCCUCGCCAGCGCAUGCAUGCAGCACCGUCGCGAUGGCGCGGCACGCGCAGAGCGCGCUCCCUGCCGCCGACGGGCCCGCGCCGCCCCGUUCCGUCGAGCUCCCCCUAAACAACCCAAUCCCGGCGCGGUUAGCAUCAAAAUGGAACUAGGGAACACGCACGACGACGCUCAACCUCUGAACCCUCCCGUGCAACCACUGCGCCGACGUAAUCACCUCGCCUCCACAUGACUCCACCAUCUCACCAGACCCCGCCCGGCCACUGAACGAGCCUCGAGGGGCCUUUCCUCCUUGACUCCGGCCACCUCCAUCCGCCUCGGGCUCCGGCAUCGUUCUCUCCGGUGAGAACCCCUCCGCCGCCCUACUUUCGACCGUAGCUCGUACCACCUCUACUAAGAUAACCCCCACCUCAAUUUUGACCUCGCAGCUCUCUCCGGCGAGAUCCACGACCACGCGAACCGCCGUCCGCCGGAGCAAGCGUCGCCGCCGACGUGGUACUCACCGGCGACCACCGCCACCUCCCACAGACGCGGAAUGGCGCACUAAUCACGAAGGUACACCCCGAUCACCUUACCUCGCUAUGGAUCGCCGCCGGCGACCACCGCACCUCUCGACGCCGUCGCGCUCUGUUUUCCCACGUUUGAAAAUUCAAACCUGACGCGUGGAGCCCGCCUGUCAGUCUCUCAGCCGUUUUUUUUAAUGAAACGUUAUCUGGACUUUUCCGCAGAACCCCCUGGAAGUUUUCUACUUCAUUACAUAUGAGUCCUUGGGUUAAAACCCUUAUAACUUUUUAACAGAAAGGAAGUUUUGAGUGGUUCUUUUUCUGUCCUCUUCAAAAUUUUCUCUAGUUUUUUAUCAUAUUUAUUUGAAAAAUAUUUGGAACACUUUUCUGUACACUCACGGUAUUUACGUUGCGUGCGUAUCCUUUCUUAUACCGUAUAUUCCGGAGGAAGCGACGGAGCUGCAAACUUCGCACAGCUAGACUCCGACUACUCCGAACCAGGCAAGUACGUUUGAACUCUUGAUAUGAUGAGUGUUGUUGCAUGUUUGCAUUGUAGCAUGGUCAUGGCAUGUUUAGGAACAUCACUUUAAAUAUUAUGUUCCAUGCACAUAAACGGAAAGUAAGUUUCGGAAAGCAUUAUGUUGUUGGAUACAUAUGUGCAUAGCCAUGUGUUGGCAUGAGGAUGGGUAAGAUGGCAGUGUUGUGACAUGCCAGGCUUAAGCCAGUCCUUUUGACAGCAGUGUCAACAUGAUCAAAUCAUAUUCCCUUCAUUUCCUUCCUGUGCUGCCACAUGUUUUCCGCAAGGGAUAUGACAUAGUAAGUUGCAACUGUUUUCCUGGUACACACCAAGUAGAGAGGCCGGGAUGAGGGUUCCAUGGACCUGGAUUAAAGCCCGUCAUCCGGUCAGGGGGCAUGGGUGUUUCCGGUUGGGACCGAGAGGGGGCACCCCUUAGAGCGCGCGUACAGAAAUUUGAUCCCAUGCUAUUCGUGGUUGUGGCCUCCCCGUCUCAAAGUUUUUCUUGGACGUUGUCCAGGGUGAUUCCUCGCAUCGUGAGGUGAAAUGGGUGUGUACUAGCAAAAUGUGUUUCUACUGAAAUACCGUAAACGUAACUAGUCCUUCGUGACUACGGAAAUCCGUUGGCUGUGGUCAGUUCAUCCAAACUCUGCAGAGUCUCAAAUCCUUGAAUUAUCUUGUACUUUGUUCAAGUACUAUAUUCAUCUUAUCUUGUCAGGUAUCAGCCUCAGUGACAAAACUCCGGUGGUAUUUAUGUGUGAUAAAUCCGGUUAAAAGAUUAUUCUUGUGGAUGGACUAAUCUUGUUAUUCACAUUCAUUACAAGCCCUAUCUGCGAUGUCGCUCAGACGUCCGACGGUGGCAUACCUGUUAUUUAUUUUUGUUAUAGGCCCUGUCUGUGAUGUCGCUCAGACGUCCGACGGCGGCAUAUCUGUUAUUUACAUUUGUUGCAAGUCCUGUCUGCGAUGUCGCUCAGACGUCCGACGGUGGCAUUUCUUUUACAGCCCUUUAUGUGAUGUCGCUCAGACGUCCGACUAUGGCAUUUCUUUUAUAGCCCUUUAUGUGAUGUCGCUCAAACAUCCGACUGUGGCAUUUCUUUUACAGCCCUUUAUGUGAUGUCGCUCAGACGUCCGACUGUGGCAAUUCUUUUGAAGCCCUGUCUGUGAUGUCGCUCAGACAUCCGACUGUGGUAUUUCUUUUAAAGCCCUUUAUGUGAUGUCGCCCAGACGUCCGACUGUGGCAUUUCUUUUAAGCCCUCUAUGUGAUGUCGCCCAGACGUCCGACUGUGGCAUUUCUUUUAAAAUCCCUUUAUGUGGUGUCGCUUAGACGCCCGACUGCGGCAUGCAUUUUAUUUAUUUACCUUUUGAGGCGUCGCUCGAGACACCCGAUCGGUUUUUUUAAUUAUUUAUUUUAUUUAUCAAGUCCGGCAAUUCUUACCAUUGUUAUAUGAGGAUCAUUCUUUAUUCACGACGCAUUCAUGCGUUCAUUGAUUAUAUCUUUUGUCCGAACUGUCUUGCGAGUACUUUCAAAGUACUCACCUGGUUUGUUGAUUUGGCCAGAUGUUGAUCAAGGCGAUCUCAUGGAUGAAGAGUUUGAUAGCGAGUCCGACGCCUAGAGGAGUCCCAGUCAGUCCCGUGCGAUCCUGUCUUGGUCAUUGUAUUAUCCGCUUCCGCAACCAGAAAUAAAUUCAUCGAGCCUCACCUCGACGCUUGAUGUGCUGCCAGUAGAAGUCAAGUUAUCCGCCACCACAUUUCCUCGAGCUAGUAGCAUAUCACCACACCCCUGUGUCAUAACCGCCCAUAUGUAAGAUAUUGGCGAGUUUGUAAUAAAUUGUUGAGCAGCCUCAGCUCAACCCUGUAAUAUAUUUGAUGCUACUAGUUCUCUGUUUAUCAACCGUUUUCUACCAGAAAGGAUGACUUUUCCUAUACUGGGAUUAAAAGAUCGGUUUUAUCAAUAAUCAUUUAUUGAAAAACCGGUCGUGACAGACUUGGUAACCAGAGCCAGGCUGACUGUAGGAAGCCACUAGGUGCGAUCGCUAAUUGGUUAUUAGCAUGAUAGAGUUAUUCAUGUUUAUACAAGUGUAGACAUUUUUCUGACAGUCAGCAUAAAAUUUUAUGAUCUGAUCACUCAGAAUUUUUGCCUACUUUUGUAGAUGACCGGCAACGACUACGAGUCUCAAAUGUUCGCCAACGUGCCUGAGGGGUUCGUCAAACUCCUCUCCUUCAUCGUUCAGGUCGCGAUGGGGCCAUCCGUGCGCCCAGUCUUCACGCUUUAUCCACACAAGAUCAACAACAGUCUGACUAUGCACCAGGCCGGGGUGCAGUUCAGGGGAGGCCAUGCUGAAAUACGCCGCCUCUGAUUCGUGGGGAGAGCCAUGCCUACAGAAAGGCAUGCUAUGCAGAUGGCUGCCCGCGAGACGAUAGCCCAUCUUCGGGAUGUUCUUCCUGCAAUGAAGACCCGUCGCUACCGCUACCUUCCAUGCCAUGUGCCUUACACCUGUCACUACUCCUUCUCUUGCCCCAGAGGAGAGUGAGACGAAGCCUUUGAGAUGCUUGUCGAGUACCUCCGAGCCCUGGAGGCAGCAUUCGACUGCAUGGUGGAUGACCUCGUAGCUGCACGCAUGGACUCAGUUCAUGGCUGUGCUGCUAACAGGAGGGAACUCCUACACACCGCUCCACCAUUGACUUUCGUGUCAUCCGCAGCCUCUCACUCAACUUCCAUACUCGCCACUGCUUGUCGUCUGCCUACCACAGAGGAAUUUAACCAGGCUAUUGCACCCACUCCCGCCUGCUCUGCACCACUUGUUGCACCCACUCCCAUACGUGCUACCCCACCUAUUCCACCCACUCAUAUUCGUGUUAUUCCGCCUACGGCACCUGCUCCAUCAGCUCAGCACAACGUUUCUCGUCUGGAACCUAUUAGCGAGGAGGAAGUUGAUUCCCCAGCAUCUCUGCGUCUCACCCUCGGCAGGCCAAGGGAGAUCCUCACCAUCUCCGACUAAGUACGCAUAGACGCCAUGCGAUGUAUCGACUUGUGUAAUAUGUUUUAUGUACAUAGGUUGUGAGAAGUAGCCUGUUUGUGCACCAUGUAGGAUCUGGAGGAGUGCACUAGUUUAAAUAACAUGUCAGGAUUAUGUACGCAUAUCCUGAGUGAUGUAAUGUGUAAUUAUGCCCGCGUGUAAGAUAUGCACUAGUCCUUCUCCGCGCGCAAUCUUGUGUUUCCAAAAAUAUCCUGGAGUUUAAGAAUGUUCUUUAUGUGUGAUUUUAUUGACUUUUGCGACUCUCUUUCUUGUCUUACGAGUUCACAAAAUAUAUCCCCAGAGUGAAAGGUGUCUCGUCCUUGGACGCGCUCCAUGCCAACUCAGCCAGAAGAAAAUUAUGGCACACCGUAGAACCACAAUUUCACUCAGGGUCAGACAAGUCAACAGGACAGUGAAACAACUUUUACACAAGUUUGUCAUUUGUACGAACAGAGUCAACAACAACACAAGGAAAUGAUGAACCAAUUCAUCAAUAUGGGAAGUAAUCGUGGUCAGUAUCAACCGCAAUCCAAAUUAUCCGAGUUACAAAAGACGCGUCCUCCAACAUUUUCUCAUACUGACAAGCCUCUUGAGGCCGAGCACUGGCUUCGAGACAUGGAGAGAAAAUUAAUUAUCGCACAGUGUUCAGACCGUGAAAAAGUACUAUAUGCACCAUAUUAUCUCAGAGGUGUAGCUGCAUCAUGGUGGGAAAACUUCCUGCACAUGCACCCCAACAAAAAUGAAAUCACCUGGGAAAAUUUCAAAGAAGGUUUUCGUGGGGCACAUAUUCCUAAGAGAGUCAUGAAAAUCAAGAAGAAGGAAUUUGAUGAACUCAAGCAAAGAGCCAUGACAGUGUCAGAAUACAACAGCCAAUUCACACUGUUGUCUCGCUACGCCAAUGAAGAACGCAUGACCGAGACCAAGAAGAUGGAAAAAUUCUUGGAAGGCCUGGCACCUGCCCUUAAGUGCCAGCUAGUUGUGCAUACCUUUCCAGAUUUUAAAACACUGGUGGAUAAGGCCAUUACCCUGGAAAAUGAGCGACGUAGCCUGGAAGAUUUCCGCAAAUGGAAAAGGGACCAGACUACUUUUUCUCGCAAUCACAGAAGCAAGAAGGAAUUUCAGAAGGGGGAUUCACACAAAACCCCGGCGAAUAAUUCACGUCCAACCAAGAAUUUCCAUGCAAGAGACAAAGAGUUCACCUAUCGCCCAGGCGUUACCUGUUAUGCUUGUGAAGAAGAAGGGCACUAUGCCAAGCAGUGCCCCAAGCCAAGGAGCUCAACCCCGAAGCUCAAUAAUGAUGGAAAUAAUUCAGCACCAAAGCGAAGCAAUUUCAACCCCAACAACAACCACCGGAAAGGUCACUUGAACCACGUGACCUAAGAGGAAGCACAGAAUGCCCCAGAUAUCGUACUCGGUACGUACCCCGUCAACACAAUACCUGCCAUGGUUUUGUUUGAUUCUGGAGCUUCUCACUCAUUCGUUUCGAAAAGUUUUGCUUUGCAAAAUAAUUUUUCGAUGCUUCCCUUGGAAAAUCAAUGAUCAUCAAGUCCCCUGGAAUUAAGCAAGUGACUCAGAGUUACUGUCAAGGUGUGGUUAUUGAAUUUGAAGGAUUGAAGUUUUACGCCAACCUUAUCGUACUGGAAAGCAAAGGAAUGGAUGUCAUCCUAGGAAUGGAUUGGUUAACCACCAACAAAGGUUUUAUUGACUGCUUCAACCGUACUGUGAUUCUCACACACCAUCAUGGGAAGAAAAUAAAAGUUUCAGCCAAAGAGAGACAAAUACCUCGGCAACCUAGAUUAAACAAGGUGGACGUUUUUGAGCUGAACAAGGUUCCAGUAGUAUGUGAAUUCCCAAACGUAUUUCCAGAAGAACUACCAGGCAUGCCACCAGACCGAGAAAUAGAAUUCAGCAUUGAGCUAGCACCCGGAACCGCUCCUAUUUACAAGAAACCUUACAGAAUGGCACCAUCCGAAUUGGUAGAGCUGAAGAAGCAAAUAAAAGAAUUAUUGGAGAAAGGAUACAUACGAGCCAGCUCCUCACCUUGGGGUUCUCCAAUUUUAUUUGCCAAGAAGAAGGAUGGAACAAUGAGGUUGUGUAUUGAUUAUCGAGCUCUCAACAUGGUCACAAUAAAGAACAAAUACCCAAUGCCCCGAAUAAAUGAUUUAUUCGAUCAGCUCGCACAGGCCAAAGUCUUCUCAAAAAUUGACUUCAGAUCAGGGUACCACCAAUUAAAAGUACGAACUGAAGAUAUUCCCAAGACCGCAUUCACCUCCAGAUAUGGGUUGUAUGAGUUCACAGUAAUGCCAUUCGGACUAACCAACGCCCCCGCAUUUGUUCACCAUGAACAAGGUAUUUAUGAAGUAUAUGGACAAGUUUGUUGUGGUAUUCAUCGAUGAUAUUCAGAUAUAUUCCAAAACACCAGAAGAGCACGCCGAACAUCUCAGGAUUGUACUAGGAGAACUCAGGAAACAUCAAUUGUACGCCAAAUUCAGCAAAUGUGAAUUUUGGCUAAGGCAGGUGGGUUUUCUGGGCCACGUGCUAACCCAAGAAGGUAUUGCAGUAGACCCGGAAAAAGUCAAGGCCGUACUUGGCUGGAAACCACCAGCCAACGUAACGGACGUACGGAGUUUCUUGGGAAUGGCAGGAUAUUAUCAGAGAUUUAUUGAAGGAUUCUCCACUAUAGCAAAGCCCAUGACACAAUUGCUCAAGAAAGGCAAGAAGUUUGAAUGGACAGAAGCAUGUGAGAAAAGCUUCCAAGAGCUAAAAAGCAAAUUAACAACGGCACCAGUAUUAAUCGUGCCAGAUAUACACAAAAUUUUUGAGGUAUAUUGUGACGCAUCCCCGGAAGGCUUCGGAUGCGUAUUGAUGCAAGAAGGCAAGGUAGUUGCAUAUGUCUCUAGACAACUACGCAAGCAUGAGGAAAAUUAUCCCACUCAUGACUUGGAAUUAGCAGCGGUCAUUCAUGCACUCAAGUAAUGGAGACACUUCCUACUUGGGAAUCAUUGUGAGAUAUACACAGACCAUAAGAGUCUUAAGUAUAUUUUCACACAACCAGAGUUCAAUCUACGGCAACGACGCUGGCUAGAAUUGGUGAAGUAUUAUGAUGUUGGAAUCCACUAUCAUCCUGGAAAAGCAAAUGUUGUGGCAGAUGCCCUGAGUCGGAAUCCCAGCACAGACGAUGACAGUAUACCAAAGUGAGGCCAGAAUUUCAACAGGAAUUUGCCAGGCUCAAUUUAAUAAUGGUUACCGAAGGCAGUGUGGCAAAUUUGGAAAUACAGCCGACCCUGAUGGAAAAGAUCAAGGGAGCCCAGCACGGACACCCCAGUAUUGAUGACAUAAAAAGGAAAGUGAGUAUGGGCAAGGCCUCAGAAUUCAACGUAGAUGAGCAAGGAAUAUUAUGGUACAAGGAAAGAAUCUGCAUGCCAAAUAUCCAGGACAUCAAACAUCAAAUUCUGUCUGAGAGCCACACCGCUCCGUACUCAAUCCAUCCUGGGGGGACAAAGAUGUACAAAGACCUUCAGGAAA